CCUACGGGAGGCUGCAGUAGGGAAUUUUGCUCAAUGGGGGAAACCCUGAAGCAGCAACGCCGCGUGGAGGAUGAAGGUUUUCGGAUUGUAAACUCCUUUUGUUAGAGAAGAUAAUGACGGUAUCUAACGAAUAAGCACCGGCUAACUCCGUGCCAGCCGCCGCGGUAAUACGGAGGGUGCAAGCGGUACUCGGAAUCACUGGGCGUAAAGAGCGCGUAGGCGGGAUAGCAAGUCAGAUGUGAAAUCCUAGGGCUUAACCAUAGAACUGCAUUUGAAACUGUUAUUCUAGAGUAUGGGAGAGGUAGGUGGAAUUCUUGGUGUAGGGGUAAAAUCCGUAGAGAUCAAGAGGAAUACUCAUUGCGAAGGCGACCUGCUAGAACAUAACUGACGCUGAUGCGCGAAAGCGUGGGGAGCAAACAGGAUUAGAUACCCCUGUAGUC
Molecule: ribosomal RNA, 440 nt
Filed under: uncultured bacterium
Lineage: Bacteria
Description: partial 16S ribosomal RNA
Rfam family: Bacterial small subunit ribosomal RNA
Source: RNAcentral